GGCGGUUCUCAGGUGAUCCACCCUGGAAUCGGGCUCCCUCCUCUUUGGUUGUGGGUGUGUCACCCAAGGACUGCC
This is a non-coding RNA of Myotis brandtii (Brandt's bat), 75 nucleotides long. NCBI's taxonomy places the organism in Eukaryota, Metazoa, Chordata, Mammalia, Chiroptera, Vespertilionidae. The record is from Rfam.